RNAcentral lists this ribosomal RNA (459 nucleotides) under uncultured bacterium. RNAcentral's name for it is "partial 16S ribosomal RNA". It matches the Rfam family "Bacterial small subunit ribosomal RNA", at positions 338 to 795 of the family's 1533-position model. The record is from RNAcentral.
CCUACGGGAGGCAGCAGUGAGGAAUAUUGGUCAAUGGGCGGGAGCCUGAACCAGCCAUGCCGCGUGAAGGAAGAAGGCGCUCGGCGUCGUAAACUUCUUUUGUCGGGGGACAAAGGGCGCCACGAGUGCCGUUGUGAGUGUACCUGACGCACAAGCAUCGGCUAACUCCGUGCCAGCAGCCGCGGUAAUACGGAGGGUGCGAGCGUUAUCCGGAUUUGUUGGGUUAAAGGGGUGCGUAGGGGUUCCGGAAAGUCAGCGGUAAAAGCCCGGGGCUAACCCCCGGCGAGCCGUUGAGACUGGCGGGCUAGAGACGGCGAGAGGUACGCGGAAUGCGCGGUGUAGCGGUGAAAUGCAUAGAGAUCGCGCAGAACACCGAUUGCGAAGGCAGCGUACCGGCGCCAGACUGACGCUGAGGCACGAAAGCGUGGGUAGCGAACAGGAUUAGAUACCCCUGUAGUC